This 72-nucleotide transfer RNA is filed under the name Phrynosoma platyrhinos (Desert horned lizard). Its description in RNAcentral is "tRNA-OTHER". The record is from RNAcentral. Lineage: Eukaryota; Metazoa; Chordata; Lepidosauria; Squamata; Phrynosomatidae.
GUCAUUGUGGUGUAGUGGUUUGUGUGUUGGACUAGGACUUUGGAGACCAGGGUUUGAUUCCCUGUUUGGCCA